Molecule: ribosomal RNA, 497 nt
Filed under: uncultured bacterium
Lineage: Bacteria
Description: partial 16S ribosomal RNA
Rfam family: Bacterial small subunit ribosomal RNA
Source: RNAcentral
GAUGAACGCUGGCGGCGUGCCUAAUACAUGCAAGUCGAGCGAACAGACGAGGAGCUUGCUCCUCUGACGUUAGCGGCGGACGGGUGAGUAACACGUGGAUAACCUACCUAUAAGACUUGGAUAACUUCGGGAAACCGGAGCUAAUACCGGAUAAUAUAUUGAACCGCAUGGUUCAAUAGUGAAAGACGGUUUUGCUGUCUCUUAUAGAUGGAUCCGCGCCGCAUUAGCUAGUUGGUAAGGUAACGGCUUACCAAGGCAACGAUGCGUAGCCGACCUGAGAGGGUGAUCGGCCACACUGGAACUGAGACACGGUCCAGACUCCUACGGGAGGCAGCAGUAGGGAAUCUUCCGCAAUGGGCGAAAGCCUGACGGAGCAACGCCGCGUGAGUGAUGAAGGUCUUCGGAUCGUAAAACUCUGUUAUUAGGGAAGAACAAAUGUGUAAGUAACUAUGCACGUCUUGACGGUACCUAAUCAGAAAGCCACGGCUAACUACGUG